UCCUCCCACUCCGUCUGCAAAUCCACUGCCUCUUCUCAACCACCACCACAACCACCAUCUCUUCGUCGCCAACCACCACCAAAAGCCAUCAUGUCUUUCCUACACUAAUACCCACCAUACCCUAUUUUCUCUAGACACUUAUUUCACCAAUUUCCCCUUUAUCUAUCCCUGAAACCCUAGGUGGGAAAUUGGUAAAAUAGGUGAGUCUAUAGAAGCGAUGGAAGGCAUGGAGAGGAGCAGGAGAGGCAGUAGCAGCAUGGGGGAAGAGAUGGAGUAGUUAUCAGUCGAAUUAGGUUCUGACAAGAUUCUUUGAGCCACCAUGUACCUGUGGUGCUGCUGAGGAAGAAGCUUGUGCUGCUGCUACUACUGCCAAGACUGUUGCUGUGCUGCUGCCAGCUGCUGCUGCUGAGUGCUGUGUAGCCCUGCUGUUGAGUUGCUGCUGAACAGGCCUGAAACAUUGUUGCUGCCAAGGCUAGGAGAAAAGGGAAAGGAACAAGAGCUUGUGAACUGUGAGUUGCUGCUACAACAACCAAAGCAUACAACCCAGUUUACUGGGUUUGGUAAUCUUUUCUCCCACUGAAAUUUCUGGGCCCUGUAAGAAUUAUUUUUGAAGCUUUGUAAACCCAAUUGCACUCUGCUUCUGAGAUGUGAACUUAAAACCCAAGUGAGAUUUGCACCUGCACUCUGGGCUUGACCCAACAAAAAUUUGAAAAACGUUUUCAAAGCCCAAUUGGGCCUCGAACUUUGGCUAA
Molecule: long non-coding RNA, 752 nt
Organism: Papaver somniferum (opium poppy)
Lineage: Eukaryota; Viridiplantae; Streptophyta; Magnoliopsida; Ranunculales; Papaveraceae
Exons: 2
Source: RefSeq, a predicted model, not a curated record